CUUGGUGAUUUUAAUGACAUUAUGUAUUCUCAUGAAAAGGACGGAGGUAACCCAAGACCAAAUGCAAUGAUGUAAGAGUUUUGGAAUUGUUUGGGAGAGUGUGGGUUACAUGAUUUGGGAUAUGUUGGCAACUAUUUCACUUGGAGGAGAGGGGAGAUUAGGGAGAGACUUGAUAGGGUUGUAUGCAAUGUGGAAUGGUCAAAUAAAUUCCCAAAGGUGGGCAUCAUCUAUGAGGAACAUGUGCAUUCUGAUCACUAUCCCUUAAUCCUUGACACAUAA
Molecule: ribosomal RNA, 279 nt
Filed under: Triticum aestivum (bread wheat)
Lineage: Eukaryota; Viridiplantae; Streptophyta; Magnoliopsida; Poales; Poaceae
Description: partial small subunit ribosomal RNA
Source: RNAcentral